UACGUAGGGGGCAAGCGUUGUCCGGAAUCAUUGGGCGUAAAGCGCGCGUAGGCGGCCCUGUAAGUCCGUUGUGAAAGUUGAAGGCUCAACCUUCGAAAGCCGAUGGAUACUGCAGGGCUAGAGUCCGGAAGAGGCGAGUGGAAUUCCUGGUGUAGCGGUGGAAUGCGCAGAUAUCAGGAGGAACACCAAUAGCGAAGGCAGCUCGCUGGGACGGUACUGACGCUAAGGCGCGAAAGCGUGGGGAGCGAACAGG
RNAcentral lists this ribosomal RNA (253 nucleotides) under uncultured bacterium. RNAcentral describes it as "partial 16S ribosomal RNA". It matches the Rfam family "Bacterial small subunit ribosomal RNA", at positions 524 to 776 of the family's 1533-position model. The record is from RNAcentral.